RNAcentral lists this ribosomal RNA (486 nucleotides) under uncultured bacterium. RNAcentral's name for it is "bacterial SSU rRNA". It matches the Rfam family "Bacterial small subunit ribosomal RNA", at positions 28 to 523 of the family's 1533-position model. The record is from RNAcentral.
GAUGAACGCUAGCGGCAGGCCUAAUACAUGCAAGUCGAACGGUGUCUUCGGACAUAGUGGCGCACGGGUGCGUAACACGUAUGCAACCUACCUUACAUUGGGGGAUAGCCUUUCGAAAGGGAGAUUAAUACCGCAUAAGACAGUAACUAGGCAUCUAGUAGCUGUUAAAGAUUUAUCGAUGUAAGCUGGGCAUGCGUCCAAUUAGCUAGUUGGUGAGGUAACGGCUCACCAAGGCAAUGAUUGGUAGGGGAACUGAGAGGUCAAUCCCCCACACUGGCACUGAGAUACGGGCCAGACUCCUACGGGAGGCAGCAGUAGGGAAUAUUGGGCAAUGGACGCAAGUCUGACCCAGCCAUGCCGCGUGCAGGAUGAAGGCGUUAUGCGUUGUAAACUGCUUUUAUACAGGAAGAAACGACUCUUGCGAGAGGCAUUGACGGUACUGUAUGAAUAAGCACCGGCUAACUCCGUACACAGCAGCCGCGGAAU